AGUGAAAAUCAUAAAGUUUUUUAUCUGCUUUCAUCAUGUAUUUCUUAUCUUACAAGAUUCUGGGCCUUUGAGCAUACUCUUAAAUUCAACUAUGAGACAAA
Long non-coding RNA from Sphaeramia orbicularis (orbiculate cardinalfish), 101 nucleotides. RefSeq lists it as uncharacterized. Lineage: Eukaryota; Metazoa; Chordata; Actinopteri; Kurtiformes; Apogonidae. The record is from RefSeq and is a predicted model, not a curated record. The transcript has 3 exons.